Molecule: long non-coding RNA, 684 nt
Organism: Zingiber officinale
Lineage: Eukaryota; Viridiplantae; Streptophyta; Magnoliopsida; Zingiberales; Zingiberaceae
Exons: 3
Source: RefSeq, a predicted model, not a curated record
AAAACAGAUCCCGAUCCCCUUCCUCGACUCUUCUUCUUCUCUGUUUCCUCUGCCCGAUCCCGAUCCCUUCCUCUCGUUCUCUCUUGCGGAAGACUCGACGGCGAGGUUGGAGGAGCACGUCACCGGAGCUCGACGGGAACCAACGGGCUUCAGGUCAUCUUCGGCCGAGGGGUUGUUGUUCGGUGGAUUCGGCGGCCGGACGUCGACGGCACGGUACCUAGGGCACGACAGAGGCUUGAUUCGCGUCGUCUCCCAACCGAUCGACCUCCCCUUAGCUCUCAUCGUGCUGCUCACAGUGCGAUCCAUCUCGGAUUGGAUCGGGCGACGCCACCGAGGAGCGAUCUUGGAGAGCCAUCAUCGGAGAGAAAUCUUGGCCGCCGGCUACAAAUUCUUGGCCGUGAUCACCAAGUGCUCAUUGGGAGCGAAACCGAAUAUCUGAUUUCCAUCUCUGUGGUUUGUUGAUCAGGCGGCGUCGAUCACUGGCAGCUGCCACAGAUUCACUGCUUGAUCGGAACAGUGGAGUGGGUUUCAGCACAGUUCUGCUGUGAUGCUGGAAUUGUGAUUGUGAGGUGAAUUCCAGCAGUAUUCCUUGAUCCAGCAAUCAACAGGGGCUGUGAAUUGAGGACUUUGAUUCGAGACAGGCGUCUCGACGUUGGAUUUGGCGUGAUACUACCUGCUAUUCGA